UACGGAGGAUCCGAGCGUUAUCCGGAUUUAUUGGGUUUAAAGGGUGCGCAGGCGGGGGAUUAAGUCGGCGGUGAAAUUUUGCAGCUCAACUGUAAAAGUGCCUUCGAAACUGGUUUCCUUGAGUGUAGAUGAAGUAGGCGGAAUUUGUGGUGUAGCGGUGAAAUGCAUAGAUAUCACGAGGAACUCCGAUUGCGCAGGCAGCUUACCAAACUACUACUGACGCUCAUGCACGAAGGCGUGGGGAUCAAACAGGAUUAGAUACCCGUGUA
This 269-nucleotide ribosomal RNA is filed under the name uncultured prokaryote. RNAcentral describes it as "partial 16S ribosomal RNA". It matches the Rfam family "Bacterial small subunit ribosomal RNA", at positions 524 to 792 of the family's 1533-position model. The record is from RNAcentral.